Molecule: ribosomal RNA, 417 nt
Filed under: uncultured bacterium
Lineage: Bacteria
Description: bacterial SSU rRNA
Rfam family: Bacterial small subunit ribosomal RNA
Source: RNAcentral
UAAGGAAUAUUGCGCAAUGGACGAAAGUCUGACGCAGCAACGCCGCGUGCAGGAUGAAGGCCCUUUGGGUUGUAAACUGCUGUAGCAGGGGAAUAAGUUCUCCCACGGGGAGAGUGAAGGUACCCUGAAAGUAAGCGCCGGCUAACUACGUGCCAGCAGCCGCGGUAAUACGUAGGGCGCAAGCGUUGUCCGGAUUCACUGGGUGUAAAGGGUGCGCAGGCGGGAAGGUAAGUUAGAGGUGAAAUCUCACGGCUCAACCGUGAAACUGCCUUUGAUACUGCUUUUCUUGAGUUAGGGAGAGGUUGAUGGAAUUCCAGGUGUAGCGGUGAAAUGCGUAGAUAUCUGGAAGAACACCGGUGGCGAAGGCGGUCAACUGGCCCUAAACUGACGCUCAUGCACGAAAGCGUGGGGAUCAAA